AUAAAUAAAGCAUAUUAUUUCUAGGUGAUAUGUGUUCACUGAGUGAAAAAUAAAUAAGGAUAAGGAUAAGAAGAUCACAUAAUGAUGUAUUCUUGUUCACCCUAUGAAGGCUACGUCCAAUUCUCACAAUUUGUGAGAUUUUCCACUAGUGUGCUUAGCACCAGAAUAUUUUUGCUUUCACACUAUCUUUCUUGAUCAGUUUCAGAAUUCACCUUUCAACCUUGAAAUAUUUUUACAGUCACCUUUCAGUCCAAAAAUAAUUUUUACAAUUUACCGUUUAAUAUCUAAAAAGCUUUUUACAACCUACUCAAACUAUCUUAAGAGAUAGACUUGGGUUAUAAAUGAUGUGUACGAUAAAAUAGUUUAGGAGUAAAAUCUAAUCAACACUUGUUUGAGAUUGAUUAUUAGUAAUAACUCAAUAAAGUGGUCUUUGAAUAUAAUAAGAGAGAGCUAAAGUUUUGCUUAAGAGAGAAUAGCUUUAAAACUCUUGCAUUUUUCUUCUCCUUGGUUGUUCCUUUUAUGGUUCAGAUUGAAGUCUAUUAAACACAUGUGCUAUUUGGUCCAAAAUGUUUCUCUAUAAAACCGAAACGUUCUUGGUUCUGUUUUUUUAUGGAAAACGUGGAUGAAUAAUUGAAUGGUUGUGGAAUGCCAGUAUUUUGAUUCAGAAGCAUGCAUAUCAUUUUGCAAAAAGGAUGCAACAAUAGUGUGCUCAUGUCCUUGUUAUCCUUGCUCACAACUCGUCAAUCUGGAGAUCAAUCUAAUCAUUGAUCUGAAGACUAUUUUGAGCAUAAAAUCAUGGGAACCAAACAGUGUAUCAAAAUGUUCAUUUAAGAAAAUUCUGCAAACAUACACUUAAACAAGAGAAUAUGCAAUUGAAAUGGAAAUAGUCAUUAUAUAUUAAAACAUAAAUAACAAUCAGUCAUUGAAGUCAUUACAUAAGAAAUUAAAAUUUCCUUAAGACCGAUGAUACAAGCACAUGGAGACAUACUUUACGUUUUUCCUUAACCUACACCAUUCGUCUAGAAAACAAGUGAGGUCUCUUAAAAUUUGAAAAUCCUCAUUUUCGUUAAAUAACCUCUUAAAAUCUAAGAGUAGGAGUCAAAGUAGAACCUACUCCAAACAAAUACUGCCUAAUCCAACUUAAUUUUCCAAAAACAGUAAGUCAAAGUCGUAAUUCUAAACACUUGGAACCCUAAACACAAUCUUAAAGUCCAAAUUCCAAAUGUAAAUUACCAAUGUUUGUGAAGUACAAAAAAGGAUUGAAGAUUACCAUGUGAAAAUAGAUCCUUUAAACCAAAGCUUGCUCGAUAAUACAUCAUUUGUUGAUGAAUCCCGAUUUUAGAGAUGAAGGUGAGAGAAAUCUAAAAUUGGUGAUGGAGAUGAUGAAUGAGAUGAGUGGGUGAAGAUUAGGGUAGGAGAAAUUUGAGAGAACUUAUUGAUUGAAGGAUGAUUGUGGAGGUUAGAUUUCUUAAGAAUGAGAGAAAAGUUGAUAAAAAAUGAGUGAAAUGGGACAAAAAUAAGAGUUAGUUGCGUGUUUUAAAAUGACAACUAAAUAACUGUGCACUUGUUACUAAGUUCUACUGACGCGAUUCCAAUCAAGCUAUGCAAGUGAUUCAAAUUACACAGUUCGUGAUUCAAAUCUCCAUGUUGUCCUUUAAAAAACUUGAGACAAGUGGUUGAUAAGUGCUCAAUUACCAUAUAUUUGAUAUAUUGUUAAACCAC
RNAcentral lists this long non-coding RNA (1722 nucleotides) under Cicer arietinum (chickpea). RNAcentral describes it as "long non-coding RNA (CARI_LNC001993)". The record is from RNAcentral. Lineage: Eukaryota; Viridiplantae; Streptophyta; Magnoliopsida; Fabales; Fabaceae.